RNAcentral lists this unclassified non-coding RNA (192 nucleotides) under plant metagenome. RNAcentral describes it as "partial contains small subunit ribosomal RNA and internal transcribed spacer 1". The stretch from base 1 to 46 matches the Rfam family "Eukaryotic small subunit ribosomal RNA", at positions 1786 to 1831 of the family's 1831-position model. The record is from RNAcentral.
AAGUCGUAACAAGGUUUCCGUAGGUGAACCUGCGGAAGGAUCAUUAAUGAAUACACUUGGACGCUACUUUUAGAAGGUCCGACCCUUCAUUACCUUCACACUGUGCAACACACUUCAUUUUACACCCAUUUUUAAACACUAUAGUAUAAGAAUGUUACCAGUCUCUUAAUUGAGCAUAAAUAUAUAAUAAAA